UUUUUUCCAUCUGAACUCUCAAAUUCACCAAAACUGGAUUUGGGAGGGAUGUCUCUGUGUUUGAAAUCAUCAGUAAAAAAAAACCUUGGUUUCAUUUUUGGUGAUGGCUUAAAGUUUGACUGACAAAUAAAUUCAGUUGUUAAAGCUUGCUUUUUUCAGCUGCGUCUGCUUUCUAAAGCUAAACCUUUUCUUGCUUUUAAAGAUUUUCAAAACUUUUGUGUGGCGUCAAAAGGAGGGAGCAUAUUUCUCUUGUUUUAUGCUCACUACAUUGGUUGCCUGUUUGUCUAAGAGUGGAUUUUAAAAUGUUCUAGUUUAUAAACCUCUGAAUGGUUUGGCUCCCCCUUAUCUCAGUGAGUUACUGACCGAGUAUCAACCCACUCGAUCCCUUCGGUCUACCCCUAAGUCGAGGCUUAAGUGCCGGGGAGUUAGUGCUUUCUGUAUUGCUGACCCCAGGCACUGUCCAUUAGACAAGCCUCUUCACUUAAUAUUUUUAAGUCCAGGCUAAAGACAUUAAUUUUAUAAUUUUUUAAUUGAAAUAAUUUUUUUCUGUUUGUUGUGUUUUUUUCUUCUUCUGUUUUUAAUGACCUAAUGGAAAGCACAUUGAUCGACAGAAGUUGUAAUUAAUUGUGCUAGAUAAAUAAAUUGUCAUGGUCAUUAUGGGACUCACAGCUGAAUGUGUCCUACCUAACUUAAAAUUGCAACAGUUCCUUGCUUCAGUGUGGUACACACGUAAUGUUGGUUUGUUUGGAAAGAAGACCCUCUGGGCUUUACUUUUCAUCAUCCAGAGUUGAUAAUGCUCAAAAAGAUUGAAAAUUAAAAAAUGUACCUAGGGUUGUAACGAUAUACCGGUAUGACGAUAUACCACAAUAUAAAUAUUAACGAUUAUCAUACCAUGUGCAUUUACUUAUCUACGGUAUUGAGAGAAAAUAACAAACACAGAAUCUCACCUGCGCCUAGGCAACAACGUUCCACCGAAGGGGCCGUUCACAUAUCACGCCUAAAACAUGUGGAAAACAUUAGAGGAGCUGCUUUCUGAUUUUUUCCCAAAGCCUUCUGGCACUAGCGCUCUUGAGGCGUCUGCCGUGGCUAAGCAACAAUGACCCGCUCUCCAUGAAGACGUGGAAAUUUCAGCUCAAAGAACAGAGACAACUCUAAAUCCAAAGUGUAUUACACAAAACAUUGUGCAACUGCAAAAUCAAAGUCAAUGAGAGACUCAUUCUGCCUCAGCAUCCCGAUGGUGGAGAGCCAUGGGAAAUGGUAGAAAGGCUGACACUGUAGAUAGCUUCAAAGUUUACAUUGUCUUCUACAAGUCUUUGCUGUAUUUUACGCAGUAGGAUGACAUUGUUUUGAUGGACCAUAUGAACAAUGAAAGCCUCUUGCUGUUGGGAGAACGAAGGAGUCCUUCUAUGGAGCUAUUCUUGUGCCAAUAAAAAUGAACGUACCUUUUCAAGAAACUAAUGGAAAUAUAAAUUGAAACUGAAUAAAAUAUCUUUGAAACUGAAAAAGAAUAACUCGCUGGCAAAUUUAUUGACUUUGUUUUUAAUACACUGCAUGUUUUGCUAACUAUUUCUCAUAUUUCUUUCGCUGAUCUGAACUUCGUUUACGCUUCUGAAGUUUUGGUUCGCAAUUCUGACACAAACCUACCGUGUGGGCGGGCUUAACAGCGGUUUGCUCUCAUUGGCUAGUGAGAUUUAGAUUGACGGCUCCUUGAACCGGAAGGAGAGACUUCAGCAGCGUGAAUUUUGGGUUCUGUGUGACAGUCUAACAACAGUAGAGUAAAACACUAUAUUAAAGCACAUCAACAAUAUUUAUAAAACCGAGAUGAGUAAGCAGGAGCGUCAUCAACAUCCUCAACCGUAGGGCAUUCGAGGCAGCCUGAGGGACAAAGAGAAAUGUCACUUCUCCAGGAACAAGUGCAAGAAGAUAUCUUACAUCGUAUGCUAACCAAGUUUAACUUGAUUUGUCGGAAUGAAGCUAUAGAUUUGGAUUACCUCCUGGAUGUUCUUGAAAAGAAAAGCAGCAAAGCAGCAGUGCCCGUUUGGUUUGAGUCUCCCAAUUGUCGUUGGUGCCUUCUUUGAGGGGGGGUUCUGUUAUUUGGUAAGUAAGAAGUUGCAUAUUAUAAUCAGUUGCAUUCUGUUGUAGCUGCCCCUCCCAACCUGUCUGAAAUGGGUGAGUUGAGAGAAAUGUUAAAAGCCCAAAAGAAACAGUUAAAUCAACUGACACAAAAUUUUGCUCGGUUUCAAGAAUUUCGUUCGCGUGACCAUUCCCCACUUUAUGGCCCAGUAAUUUGCAGACGGUGUCAACAGCCCGGCCAUUUUUCUCGAGAUUGCGAGGGCCCACGAGUAGCUUCACGUCCACCAAUUGUGGGCCCUCCAAUGGUUCCUUUGCCUGUGGAUGGGUGCCGUCAAGAUCGCCAGCCAUUGGGAAACUAGUACCCGCCCAAUUGCAGAGCCACAAAUCGGUAGGGGAGAUCAUUGGCUCAAAUGAAUUGUCUAGCUCUGAUCCUACUUCUUACCUAAUGUCUUCAUGCCCACAUCUUGUUGUCGGUAUGGGAGGAGUAAAGAUACCAUGGUUUCUACUACAACGGAAAGUUGUUUUAUUGCAAACUUUGUGGGCAGGAGCGUUUGAGGUUUUGCCAGUGGUUGCAGCUUAGGGCUGCAAAUGAGCUGGAAAUCCCCUACAUUGGCUACCUGGAGCUGGAUAUCGAGUUGUGUGGGAAGGUAGUGUUAGGAUGUGGAGUGUUAGUGAUUAAGGAUCCCCUUGAAUGUUCUCAGUCGUUGUUACCAGGAACUUUUUGGGCAGCAUGGUUUGACCCUCUUUAGUUUACCUGCGGUUUCAGGGGCCCCUGGUCCUGUAAUGCAAGCUUUGCAACACUGUCAACUGCAGGCUCAACCUUCUGGCUUAACGAGUAAGGUAAGGGUACGUGGGCAUAAAGCAAAACACAUUUCAGGUGGUAUGAUGCAGAUAGUAGCGGACACAUGUUCUGAACAUCAUUCAGGGAACACAGUGUUGUUUAACCCUAACCCUAGUACAGGUUUUUCGGGGUACUGUUUACAUACCUGUGGUUAAUGUGGGGACUGGAGGUGCUCUUCUCUAUCCUGGUGCAGUCUUAGGCACCUUGAAUGCUUGAAUGCUGUUUUUGUGACUAGUUUACCCCAAGGAGUCACUGAAGUUAAAGCGGUGUCUGCAACAGUUGGCUCACAGUCAUCACAGACUGGGUCCACUGUGCCUGAACAAAUAGAGUCCAUUGAUUUAACUGUUUUGAGACCAAGUGACCAGGUUCAGGUGAGGAUGUUGCUGCAGAAUUAUCAGUUAGUGUUUUCAGCCAAUGAUGGCGAUUUGGGUUGUACCAAUUUACUCUCUCAUGAUAUUCCUCUUCUAGAGGAUACUCAGGUUAGGCAGAGGUAUCGACAUACAGUAUAUCACCUUCCGAAUAUGAUGUUGUGAAGACCCACAUCAGUCAACUUCUUGAUGCUCAGGUCAUAAGGGAAAGCUGCAGUCCCUACGCUUCCCCUAUUGCAGAAUGCGAAGACGCGAAAAGAUGUGUUUCCUUUGCCUCGAAUUGAGGAAUCCCUAGAUGCGUUAACUGGAGCUCGCUGGUUUUCCACUAUGGAUUUGGCCAGCGGGUAUAACCAGGUUCCGGUCACCGAGACAGAUAGGGCUAAGACUGCCUUCUGCACUCCUUUCGGUCUUUUUGAGUGGAAUCGCAUGCCCUAUGGGCUUUGCAAUGCUCCCAGUACAUUCCAACGUCUGAUGGAGAGAUUGUUUGGAGAUCAGCAGCAGCAGUCUUUGCUCUUAUAUCUUAAUGAUAUAGUAGUGUUCUCUUCCUCGGUGGCCCAACAUUUGGAGCGCUUGGAAGUUGUUUUGAGUAGAUUAAAACGAUUAAAAGCAUCUAGGCCUAAUGAAAUCUUGGCCGUUGAUUUUACCAUGCUUGAGCCUUCUAGUUCAGGCAUAGAGAACAUUUUGGUGAUGACUGAUAUCUUUACCGAGUACACCUUGGCGGUUCCCACACGUUGCACGAAUAUUGGUAGCGGAAUGGUUUUAUAAAUUUGGUGUCCCCGAUCGCAUACACUCUGACCAGGGCCGAAAUUUUUAAUCUACAUUGAUUCAACAUUAGACGAGCUGCUUUCUGAUUUUUUCCCAGAGCCUUCUGGCACUAGCGCUCUUGAGGCGUCUGCCGUUGCUAAGCAACAAUGACCCGCUCUCUCCAUGAAGACGUGGAAAUUUCAGCC
Long non-coding RNA from Carassius auratus (goldfish), 4232 nucleotides. RefSeq lists it as uncharacterized. The transcript is spliced from 4 exons. The record is from RefSeq and is a predicted model, not a curated record. NCBI's taxonomy places the organism in Eukaryota, Metazoa, Chordata, Actinopteri, Cypriniformes, Cyprinidae.